Molecule: ribosomal RNA, 448 nt
Filed under: uncultured bacterium
Lineage: Bacteria
Description: SSU rRNA
Rfam family: Bacterial small subunit ribosomal RNA
Source: RNAcentral
AGAACGAACGCUGGCGGCAGGCUUAACACAUGCAAGUCGAACGCUCGUAGCAAUACGGGAGUGGCAGACGGGUGAGUAACGCGUGGGAACAUACCCUCCGGUUCGGAAUAGCUCAGGGAAACUUGGAUUAAUACCGGAUACGGCCGAGAGGCGAAAGAUUUAUCGCCGGAGGAUUGGCCCGCGUUCGAUUAGCUAGUUGGUGAGGUAACGGCUCACCAAGGCGAUGAUCGAUAGCUGGUCUGAGAGGAUGAUCAGCCACAUUGGGACUGAGACACGGCCCAAACUCCUACGGGAGGCAGCAGUGGGGAAUAUUGGACAAUGGGCGCAAGCCUGAUCCAGCCAUGCCGCGUGAGUGAUGACGGCCUUAGGGUUGUAAAGCUCUUUCGCUCGGGACGAUAAUGACGGUACCGAGAUAAGAAGCCCCGGCUAACUUCGUGCCAGCAGCCGC